This 490-nucleotide ribosomal RNA is filed under the name uncultured bacterium. Its description in RNAcentral is "partial 16S ribosomal RNA". It matches the Rfam family "Bacterial small subunit ribosomal RNA", at positions 30 to 507 of the family's 1533-position model. The record is from RNAcentral.
AUUGAACGCUGGCGGCAGGCCUAACACAUGCAAGUCGAACGGUAACAGGAAGAAGCUUGCUUCUUUGCUGACGAGUGGCGGACGGGUGAGUAAUGUCUGGGAAACUGCCUGAUGGAGGGGGAUAACUACUGGAGACGGUAGCUAAUACCGCAUAACGUCGCAAGACCAAAGAGGGGGACCUUCGGGCCUCUUGCCAUCGGAUGUGCCCAGAUGGGAUUAGCUAGUAGGUGGGGUAACGGCUCACCUAGGCGACGAUCCCUAGCUGGUCUGAGAGGAUGACCAGCCACACUGGAACUGAGACACGGUCCAGACUCCUACGGGAGGCAGCAGUGGGGAAUAUUGCACAAUGGGCGCAAGCCUGAUGCAGCCAUGCCGCGUGUAUGAAGAAGGCCUUCGGGUUGUAAAGUACUUUCAGCGGGGAGGAAGGGAGUAAAGUUAAUACCUUUGCUCAUUGACGUUACCCGCAGAAGAAGCACCGGCUAACUCCGUG